GAAAUUGGAGCUUAUAAUAAUACUAGGGGAUUUUUUGGUCGCAUGCAGUUAUAAUUGUACUACAGUUUUACCUGGAUGUAUAUCUAAAUUCAACGUUUGUUUUGAUACAUUUAAAUUCAACUACUAUAGUUGUAACUGCAUGAGAAAACUCAAGAAUUACGCCUAAAUUGCCUGCAGUUUCAACUAUAAUACUUUUAAAAAAUAAUUUAAAUAAAAAUAAAUUUACCUUCCUAAUAACCUUUUAAAUAGUGUUUUUUUAUCCUUUCCUACAUCGGGGGUAAUCUCUUAUUACCCCAUAUAUUAAAUGACAGAAAUACGUAAAUGCACUUCUCAACAGCCGGCAACCAAACAAAGUAUUUAUAGCUACAUCGCUUUUUAUUACAUGUAACCAAACAAAUAUAUAUAUAAUUAUAAUUGCUGUAUUUUCGCUGCAUGCAUCUCUAAUUACAAUGUAAUUAUAAGAGAAAUGAUUCGGUACUUUUUUAAAAAAAAAAUAAAAAAGAUCUUAACCGUUGAUUAAUAGAGGGUAAAAAUGUAACUUUAAUACUUAGCAGGUAAAAUGAUUAUUUUAUUCAAGGUUAGUUUGGUAAUUAAAUACUACAAUAUUUUAAGAAACUUUUAAUUGAGGUCCUAAAUCUAUGC
RNAcentral lists this long non-coding RNA (642 nucleotides) under Ananas comosus (pineapple). RNAcentral's name for it is "long non-coding RNA (ACOM_LNC033895)". Lineage: Eukaryota; Viridiplantae; Streptophyta; Magnoliopsida; Poales; Bromeliaceae. The record is from RNAcentral.